Molecule: ribosomal RNA, 229 nt
Filed under: uncultured bacterium
Lineage: Bacteria
Description: partial 16S ribosomal RNA
Rfam family: Bacterial small subunit ribosomal RNA
Source: RNAcentral
CAUGUAGGCGGUCUUUUAAGUCGGUUGUGAAAUCCCUUGGCUUAACCAAGGAACUGCAACCGAUACUGAGAGACAUGAGUGCAGGAGAGGAAAGCGGAAUUCCCGGUGUAAGAGUGAAAUCUGUAGAGAUCGGGAGGAACACCAGUGGCGAAGGCGGCUUUCUGGUCUGCAACUGACGCUGAAAUGCGAAAGCUAGGGGAGCAAACAGGAUUAGAUACCCUGGUAGUCC